GGUUAUGGAGUGGAGCUUAACUUCAAGUCUAAAUGCGGUUCUUGUUAGGCUGAUUCUCAUGCUGAGCUAUGGUCCCACAGUUCUACCCAUGACACGACAUGCCUUUUUUUUGUGGUAAUUCUGUUGCGUGCAUAUCUUGGGAGCUUUAUUACCUCUUGUCAGAUCCUUAUUUGGAUUGAAGGAAGUUCCAACCCUUCAUCUC
This 202-nucleotide microRNA precursor is filed under the name Glycine max (soybean). Its description in RNAcentral is "pre miRNA MIR159". Lineage: Eukaryota; Viridiplantae; Streptophyta; Magnoliopsida; Fabales; Fabaceae. The record is from RNAcentral.